AACGAACGCUGGCGGCAUGCCUAACACAUGCAAGUCGAACGAGACCUUCGGGUCUAGUGGCGCACGGGUGCGUAACGCGUGGGAACCUGCCCUUAGGUUCGGAAUAACUCCCCGAAAGGGGUGCUAAUACCGGAUAAUGUCUUCGGACCAAAGAUUUAUCGCCUUUGGAUGGGCCCGCGUUGGAUUAGCUAGUUGGUAGGGUAAAAGCCUACCAAGGCGACGAUCCAUAGCUGGUCUGAGAGGAUGAUCAGCCACACUGGGAGUGAGACACGGCCCAGACUCCUACGGGAGGGAGCAGUGGGGAAUAUUGGACAAUGGGCGAAAGCCUGAUCCAGCAAUGCCGCGUAAGUGAUGAAGGCCUUAGGGUUGUAAAGCUCUUUUACCCGGGAUGAUAAUGACAGUACCGGGAGAAUAAGCUCCGGCUAACUCCGUG
Molecule: ribosomal RNA, 433 nt
Filed under: uncultured bacterium
Lineage: Bacteria
Description: partial 16S ribosomal RNA
Rfam family: Bacterial small subunit ribosomal RNA
Source: RNAcentral